This is a long non-coding RNA of Oncorhynchus keta (chum salmon), 2581 nucleotides long. RefSeq lists it as uncharacterized. The record is from RefSeq and is a predicted model, not a curated record. The transcript is spliced from 4 exons. NCBI's taxonomy places the organism in Eukaryota, Metazoa, Chordata, Actinopteri, Salmoniformes, Salmonidae.
UUGCACAGUCAUAGCCCUGAUUUCUGUUUGCUCUGUGGUAUUGACGGAUGCAGUGAGGAAUAUAGUGUACAAUUCCUUCUAUCAUCAUGUAAAGAUAAACCCCCUUCAACACCAACUUGAUUGCACCCGACCAGAUGAACAACCAUCGGAGGAAAGCCAAGUACCACCGGAACAAGACAACAUUCAAACCCACCAGCUUCUAGUUUCACUGAUCAGCAACUCCAUACAUCUCACUCAGAUGAAGGGCAAAGGGGCAUUGACCAACAUGGAGCUGUCACAGUGCAACAAGAUCUGACAACACAUGCCAAUGCUUUUGUGAUAAAUGCCAGAACAAAGCAUCGUCUCUCACAGAAAGGCGUGAAUGACAUUGUUGCUGGGGUACAGCAGUAUCAAUCAUCACUAUUGGACAACCUCAGGAAGCAGAUGGAGGCAGUGCUAAAGAAGCAUUCAGGAAGCACAUCAGGUCAACUUGAAGAAGAUAUGCAAUGGAUAUAUUUGACAAUUUCAUUGAGCCUUUUGCUGGCGUUGCAACAACAUUAAGACAGGACAGUGUUAUUAAGAAGCAGUUUAGCUGUUUGGACGCAGAGGAAAUUCACAUUGAUCGAACCAUAUGCAGGAUGAACCAUAUGCAGGAUGAACCAUAUGCAGGAUGAACCAUAUGCAGGAUGAACCAUAUGCAGGAUGAAAUGUGGAGGAUCAAAGACAUUUUCAUCAAUUAUUUUACUAUGUACCAUUAGUCAAAAUUCUAGAACAGUUCUCAUCACACCCAAGGAUUUUGUCUAUGGUUGAAAAGGGACCCCAGAUGUGCAGGGAAAGUUUUUUUCAUGACAUUGUUGAUGGUGCUCUUCUAAAAUCGCAUCCCUUAUUUUCAGAGAAACCAAAGGCAUUACAGAUUGUUCUGUACGCGGAUGGAAUAGAGAUCUGUAAUCCACUAGGAUCCUUUGCAUCAAAAAGCAAGUUGUUAAUGGUGUACUACACCCUAGGAAAUAUACAUCCAAAAUUCAGGUCUAAACUGGCUGCUAUCAGGCUACCUGCCAUGUCAAGAUCAGCAGACCUCCGUCAAUCUGGUAUAGAUGUAAUAUUGAAUAGAAUCAAGGAAGACAUGGAUGCAUUGUACAGUUGGGUUAAAAUGCUAACUAUUAACGGAGAGAAAACGAUAUAUGGUGCCAUGGUCUCUCUCUGUGGAGACACCCUUGCACAACAUGAACUAGCAGGGUUCAAAGAGGGUGUGGGCUUUGCCUACAGUAAGUGCAGACACUGUGAGGGUUCUUUUGAGGACAUGCAGUCACACUUCAAUGAGGAUGCAUAUACUAAAAGGACAUUGGAGAAGCAUGUCAGACAGUGUGAUGAAAUAGAAAAGGCACAGACGGACUUGCUUCGCAACAGCCUGAGAACAACAUAUGGGAUCAAUAGAAGGAGCAAGUUAGUUGAAUUCCCAGUCUUUGAUGUCAUACAACAAACUCCGCAAGACAUAAUACAUGUAAUUCUGGAGGGCAUAACUCCAUUGGAAAUCAAAUGUGUUUUGAAUCAUCUUGUUGCGUCAGGACAGAUUGAUCUGGACUCAGUGAAUUCUGCUAUUCUUGGUUUCCCUUAUUCCCCUCUAGAUGUUAGAGAUCAGUCAUCCCCUAUUUAUGUUAGUACAUUAAAGUGAUGGUAAACUAAAACAGUAAUCUGGGCAAAUGCUUGUCCUGCUAAGGAUAUUGCCAUUUGUUUUGGAGAGUUUGGAUGUCUAUACAUAUAUGCAACUGAUAUUCGAGCUAAUAGAGAUGGUACAGAUAGUAUUUGCACCUGUUCUUUCCAUUGUGACUGUGUCUAGGUUGAAGUUACUCAUUGAAAAUUAUUUGAAGCAUUGGAAGGAGCUUUUUCCAGACCGCAAUGUUACACCUAAACAGCAUUAUAUGAUACAUUUGCCAUCACAGAUAAAGUCAUCGGGGCCAAUGGUUAGACAUAUGUGUAUGCUCAAUUUAAAAAAUAUUUGCAAGACUUUGAUCAAUCAGAACCAAAUAUAUGAGUGCUGCCAGAAUGUUGACAGUUCAAUGCACCCAAUUUUUUCAAAUGAAAGGGAGAUGGGACCUGUAUCAGAGGUUAAAGAUCUACAAUAUUUAUGUGGAAAAUGUAGGGACUUCCUAGGUUUCAAUGAAGUAAACCAUGCUGUAUCAGUCAAAUAGCUAGUAAUAAAUACAUAACUCAGAAGUCCAUGAUCUUUGCCAAAGUACUGAAUGGUAAUAUGCCAGAAUUUGGACUGGUCAAAUACAUAUUUCUUGUUGAUUCUAGGCUUUGUUGUUUGGUAUAUCAACCAUUUCAAACUAUACGCUUUGAUAGAAACAUCAUUGCUUAUCAAGUUGAAGUCCCACACCCUGCACAGGCCACUGAGUUAGUGGAUGCUGAAAAACUGGUUGAUUUGACCUCUAAUUACACAAUUAGCAACAAGAGACAAACAUAUGUACAAGUCAAAUACCAUCUUGGGGAUGUAAUAGAAAUGUACAACAGUUCAAAUGAUUCAUAGUGUGUUCCCCAGAUAUGAAAAGUGUACCGUCUUUGUUCUGUACUGUAUUUUGUCUGCAUGAUUUCUGUGCUGGGA